Molecule: long non-coding RNA, 616 nt
Filed under: Trifolium pratense (red clover)
Lineage: Eukaryota; Viridiplantae; Streptophyta; Magnoliopsida; Fabales; Fabaceae
Description: long non-coding RNA (TPRA_LNC013804)
Source: RNAcentral
AAUCAAAACUAUUAAACCUAAUAUAUUAAAGUGUUCGUUUUCUAAGGGAACCCACCUGAUUCAACAGCCGUACCGCGUUGUUUCGCAAGCCUAGAAUCAUUCAAUUGCGCCGUUUGUGUACCCAAACCCGCAGCCCUCAAAAUACCAUUUUGACAGCUUCAGCCCUCAACUUCAGAAGCAUGUUCAUACAUCAAUACUGAUCCAAAAAGAGUGAAACUUGUACCCAAAAUGACGGGACUUUCGUUAUCUUUCCAUAGCAACAAACGAAAUUUAAAUCGGAACUACGAGGAGAGAGUACUGACCGUUUUAGUGAAGCCCUGUCUAGGAACACGAAUUUCACCAAUCUUCUUCUAAAUUGCUCCAAAUCCCUUAACCAUGGCUCCUUGAUCCUUGAAGUUAAUAUGCAAGAUAAAACUCAAUCUUAGGCUUGAUUCUUAGGCUUGAUCACAAACAAAUCAAAGUAAAAAAUUUAUGAAAACACAAAAAAUUGAAAAAGAGGUUUAUUCUAGUAAAAUCAAAUUAGAAUCACACUAAUAACAGAAAAAUCAAAACUAUUAAACCUAAUCUAUUAAAGUGCUCGUUUUCUAAGGGAACCCACCUGAUUCAACAGCCGNNN